This 301-nucleotide ribosomal RNA is filed under the name uncultured bacterium. RNAcentral describes it as "partial 16S ribosomal RNA". It matches the Rfam family "Bacterial small subunit ribosomal RNA", at positions 509 to 807 of the family's 1533-position model. The record is from RNAcentral.
CAGCAGCCACGGUAAAACGGAGGGGGCUAGCGUUGUUCGGAAUUACUGGGCGUAAAGCGCACGUAGGCGGCUUGGUAAGUUAGGGGUGAAAGCCUGGAGCUCAACUCCAGAAUUGCCUUUAAGACUGCCGAGCUAGCAGGUGAGAGAGGUAAGUGGAAUUCCGAGUGUAGAGGUGAAAUUCGUAGAUAUUCGGAAGAACACCAGUGGCGAAGGCGGCUUACUGGCUCAUACUGGACGCUGAGGUGCGAAAGCGUGGGGAGCAAACAGGAUUAGAUACCCCAGUAGUCCCUGUCUCUUAUAC